ACACGUAGGGUGCAAGCGUUAAUCGGAAUUACUGGGCGUAAAGCGUGCGCAGGCGGUUCGGAAAGAAGGAUGUGAAAUCCCAGGGCUCAACCUUGGAACUGCAUUCUUAACUACCGAACUAGAGUAUGUCAGAGGGGGGUAGAAUUCCGCGUGUAGCAGUGAAAUGCGUAGAUAUGCGGAGGAAUACCGAUGGCGAAGGCAGCCCCCUGGGAUAAUACUGACGCUCAUGCACGAAAGCGUGGGUAGCAAACAGGAUUAGAUACCCUGGUAGUCCACGCCCUAAACGAUGUCAACUAGCUGUUGGGCCCUUCGGGGCUUAGUAGCGUAGCUAACGCGUGAAGUUGACCGCCUGGGGAGUACGGUCGCAAGAUUAAAACUCAAAUGAAUUGACGGGG
This 395-nucleotide ribosomal RNA is filed under the name uncultured bacterium. RNAcentral's name for it is "partial 16S ribosomal RNA". It matches the Rfam family "Bacterial small subunit ribosomal RNA", at positions 523 to 918 of the family's 1533-position model. The record is from RNAcentral.